GGAUCACUCUGGAUGAUGGAAAAUGCAUUAUCCGUGCUUAAUACUAGACGGAAACAAAAUUUCUCUUCCUACUAUGUCUGUACCAUGAACAAGAUGUUCGCAACAAGUGGUCAACAAAUGUACUUUUCCACUCACUUCACACAAGAAUAUCUCAAGGGGCACAUGCA
Molecule: long non-coding RNA, 167 nt
Organism: Triticum dicoccoides
Lineage: Eukaryota; Viridiplantae; Streptophyta; Magnoliopsida; Poales; Poaceae
Exons: 3
Source: RefSeq, a predicted model, not a curated record